Molecule: ribosomal RNA, 206 nt
Filed under: uncultured bacterium
Lineage: Bacteria
Description: partial 16S ribosomal RNA
Rfam family: Bacterial small subunit ribosomal RNA
Source: RNAcentral
CGCGUAGGCGGCCUGCUAAGUCGAACGUGAAAUCCCUGGGCUCAACCCAGGAACUGCGUCCGAUACUGGUUGGCUUGAAUCCGGGAGAGGGAUGUGGAAUUCCAGGUGUAGCGGUGAAAUGCGUAGAUAUCUGGAGGAACACCGGUGGCGAAGGCGACAUCCUGGACCGGCAUUGACGCUGAGGCGCGAAAGCCAGGGAGCAAACG